Molecule: non-coding RNA, 679 nt
Filed under: Pongo abelii (Sumatran orangutan)
Lineage: Eukaryota; Metazoa; Chordata; Mammalia; Primates; Hominidae
Source: RNAcentral
AAAGAAGAGGCUGUGCUCCGGCGCUCCGGCUCCUCAGAGAGCCUCGGCUAGCUGGGAUUCUAUCCCUGACCCUCUUCACAGUCCAGGUGAUCUUGACUACUGCUUUACAGAGAAUUGGAUCUGAGAUGUGGAAACAGCAAGAGAACUAGAAUUGGAAGUAAAGCGUUGAAGAUGUGACUGAAUUGCUGCAAUCUCAUGAUCAAAUUUGAAUGGAUGAGGAGUUGCUUCUUAGGGAUAAGCUAAGAAAGUGGUUUCUUGAGAUGGAAUCUACUGGUUGCUCCUUGAGGGCAGGACAGUUCUUAUGGCUUUAUCUGUUGCUUAAGCACAGAGAGAGGUCUGUGAGGUCAAAACUGUUGUCAUGAUAGCAAGAUGCUUGUCUUUUUCAUUUAUUCUCACAGUGUGCAGAGGCUACAUGAUUUGUGAUGACAUCCUCAUUGUUGUUAAUGAAUGGUGCUAUACUUGAAUUUUCUAAGGUGUCGUUAGGUAGGUUUAGGUAUGCAUACUUGUUUUUAGAAAUUAUUUUUUCCCCUUUUCCCAUUUUUAGAAAUCAACUCAUUUUUUAGCCUUCAGUAAUCUUUGCAACCUCAAUAUUGUGCAAUUGUUAGUUUAAAAUACUGUAGUUUUCUUUGUGCCUAAGUAUAAACAUAAGUACAUUUUGUUGUUUUGUUUGCAAUAGUGG